This 460-nucleotide ribosomal RNA is filed under the name uncultured bacterium. RNAcentral's name for it is "partial 16S ribosomal RNA". It matches the Rfam family "Bacterial small subunit ribosomal RNA", at positions 338 to 795 of the family's 1533-position model. The record is from RNAcentral.
CCUACGGGAGGCAGCAGUGAGGAAUAUUGGUCAAUGGGCGCGAGCCUGAACCAGCCAAGCCGCGUGAGGGAGGACGGUCCUACGUAUUGUAAACCUCUUUUGUCAAGGAAUAAAGGCGGGCACGUGUCCCUUGAUGUUUGUACUUUAUGAAAAAGGAUCGGCUAACUCCGUGCCAGCAGCCGCGGUAAUACGGUGGAUCCGAGCGUUAUCCGGAUUUAUUGGGUUUAAAGGGAGCGGAGAUGGUUGGUUAAGUCAGUUGUGAAAGUUUGGGGCUCAACCGGAACAUUGCAAUGGAUACUGGCAGUCUUGAGUACAGGUGAGGUAGGCGGAAUGCGUGGUGUAGCGGUGAAAUGCUUAGAUAUCGCGAAGAACUCCGAUUGCGAAGGCAGCUUACUGGACUGACACUGACGCUGAGGCUCGAAAGCGUGGGUAUCAAACAGGAUUAGAUACCCCAGUAGUC